RNAcentral lists this ribosomal RNA (765 nucleotides) under uncultured Streptococcus sp. RNAcentral describes it as "bacterial SSU rRNA". It matches the Rfam family "Bacterial small subunit ribosomal RNA", at positions 28 to 776 of the family's 1533-position model. Lineage: Bacteria; Bacillati; Bacillota; Bacilli; Lactobacillales; Streptococcaceae. The record is from RNAcentral.
GAUGAACGCUGGCGGCGUGCCUAAUACAUGCAAGUAGAACGCUGAAGCUUGGUGCUUGCACCGAGCGGAUGAGUUGCGAACGGGUGAGUAACGCGUAGGUAACCUGCCUCUUAGCGGGGGAUAACUAUUGGAAACGAUAGCUAAUACCGCAUAAAAGUCGACAUUGCAUGAUGUUGACUUGAAAGGUGCAAUUGCAUCACUAAGAGAUGGACCUGCGUUGUAUUAGCUAGUUGGUGAGGUAACGGCUCACCAAGGCAACGAUACAUAGCCGACCUGAGAGGGUGAUCGGCCACACUGGGACUGAGACACGGCCCAGACUCCUACGGGAGGCAGCAGUAGGGAAUCUUCGGCAAUGGGGGCAACCCUGACCGAGCAACGCCGCGUGAGUGAAGAAGGUUUUCGGAUCGUAAAGCUCUGUUGUAAGAGAAGAACGAGUGUGAGAGUGGAAAGUUCACACUGUGACGGUAACUUACCAGAAAGGGACGGCUAACUACGUGCCAGCAGCCGCGGUAAUACGUAGGUCCCGAGCGUUAUCCGGAUUUAUUGGGCGUAAAGCGAGCGCAGGCGGUUAGAUAAGUCUGAAGUUAAAGGCUGUGGCUUAACCAUAGUACGCUUUGGAAACUGUUUAACUUGAGUGCAGAAGGGGAGAGUGGAAUUCCAUGUGUAGCGGUGAAAUGCGUAGAUAUAUGGAGGAACACCGGUGGCGAAAGCGGCUCUCUGGUCUGUAACUGACGCUGAGGCUCGAAAGCGUGGGGAGCGAACAGG